AGCCAGCGGACAUUCAGUCAGCACUUGUGAAGUGAGUGAAUAAAGUCUACCGUAAACUGGGAGAGUGCCCACACAUCCUACACUGUGUCUUAAAAAUACUGAAUUGGGGGGCGCCUGGGUGGCUUAGUUGGUUAAGCGUCCGACUUUCGGCUCAGGUCAUGAUCUUACGGUUCGUGAGUUUGAGCCCCGCGUCGGGCUCUGUGCUGUCAGCACAGAGCCUGCUUCGGAUCCUCUGUCUCCCUCUCUCCGCCCCUCCCCCCAAAAAAAUAAAUAAACAUAAAAAAAUAAUUAAAAAACUGAAUUGGAAUGCUUUUAUGCCGCGUCUUGUGCUGCGGUCCUUGCAGCCCCCACCCACUCUCCCCUCCCUUUAUGCCGCCCGCUACCCGUCUGGCCCCUAAGCUUUUCUGUUUGUGACUCUGGGAGUCUGCCAGGACGUUUUCACCAGGCUCUGUUAAAGACUCCCAGGGAAGGAUCUCCACAGCCCAUCUUGAUAAGCGCCACCCCUUUACGGUGCUAGGCUGCAGUUCCAUGUGGAUGUAUUUUUAAUCCUCUCAAGCCCUUUGUUUAGCCCUUGGUGGAGAUGCCCAUCGUGUAAAUUAACACAAUUGCGGAGUCAGAUUAAAAUGCUUCAUUCUACAUUUUACUUUAGGACGUUGGAAAUAUUUUCAGGUGUAACUUAGCACGCGCAUGUUUUCUCUGAGCCCCGUGGGACCACAUCAUUAUAAUGAGGACCUUCCUCUGAGAGCCAUCUCAGAGACUCUGGUAUGUAGGCUUACCCACUACAGCUUGGUCUUCCAGCCUUUCUUUCGGGAGGAUUCUUUACUGUGUUCCCUGGCCACCCGUCAUCGCUGUCUGCCGUGUCUCUGUCUCGGGUGGGCCUGAGUGUGACCAACAAUGAGCAUGUUAUUCUGGGAUCCUAUCCUGAAUACUUUAUACACGAGCCGGCCAUCAUGUGUUGGAAGAUUUCUUCAGGAAAGUAGGGGCUAACCGCUAUAACAACCCCCAAAUCUCAUUGAGGUUUAUUUCUUCUUACUCCCGUGACAGUUCACUGUCAUCUAAGUUGGCAUAGAGCCUCGGAGACUCACGCCCCUUCAUCUGUGGCGUCGCCAGGUGCCAAGGCUUCAGAGUCCUCUGUCCAUCCCCCACGUUCCUUGGACACACGAGAGCAGAGAGGGAGGAGGACCGCACACCAGCAGUGAGCUCCAUCCAGCCAGGAGGUGAUGUAGAUGCACCUCCGUUGGCCUUCCUAAGUCAUGUGGCAGCACUCAGCCACAAGGGAGGCUGGGAGUUAGGUGAACUGUUUCUGCUCUGCACAAAGAGCCAACAUUUUGGCGAGCACGUGGGAGGCUUUUCUACUUCGGCACUUGAUGUGGAUUAUCUGUGGCAGAUUAGAUACUGUGACUCAUCUUGUUUUCAACGUUAACAGCAGUUAGUUCUUUUUGUUGACAUCUCUUUUAAAAUUUACUUUGUAUGUGGUUUUCCUUCUGGUAGAGAAGUCUGUUAAAAUUAUAACACCUCACCUAGAAGGAUUUUAGGGGAGGUUGGUUUUCAGUUAGCCAGUUCUUUCUGUGCAUCCAAUAAAUUUAACAGAUUUCUAACGUGGAGCAAAUUGCAGGGAGAAUUAAGCAAGGUUACAAAUGGGAAGAGAAUAAUGUUUCACCUUCCCUAGAAUUCUUUUCUAUCCAAAGACUCUCAGAUCAUCCAGAAUCUGCCCAACUUUCUGUUGCUAUGGAUUCUUUGAACUUUCUUCCUCCUGGCACAGAGCCAACAGCACCCCCUGGCUGCUUUUCCUUGUACUUGAGAUGUGGAAGGAUGUGGUGCUGGAAGGUUCCCGCCCCCCCCCCCCCCCCGGGGUGAGGCCUGGUAGUUGCAAGAAGCUAGACCCCUGUUAGCGACCACUCCUAAUUGGGGAAAUAGAGCUCCCACCCUUAGAAGUCAGUGGAAAAUUAGACUUUAGGCCCAUAAUUUUGUUCUUGAACUCUUCUGUAGUCUAACUCUCUUGACCAGUUUCCAGUUUUUUCCCAUCAGUAUUUCAUCGAUUCUAAGAUGCACUUUUUUUCACGGUGUGACCUUUCUGAAACAUCUUCACAACCAACAGCAUCAAUGGCAGCAUCGCUCCUUAACAUUUCCUAAGGUAACGACACCUCCUUCGGUUGAUGAGGUCUUGAUUGGUUGAUAAAACAUGAUAUUAUUUUAAUAUAUGGCACGGUCACGUUGAAUUGCACUUUAAGCAAUAGCAAUGAGCUGGUGAUGAUUUGUAUGUCACCGACGUCCGCAAGUCACCAUUUUAUGUUGACUAUUUGUGUUAUCAGUCAUUGCUCAUCCUGUAUUCAUUUUGGAUACUUAAAGUAUUGUUAUGCAUUUAUUAUAAUAAAAUAACUUACAGUUAUUGAACACACAUUAUGCGCCUGACAAUGUUCUAAGAGGCUUAUAUGUAUGAACUGAUUUCAUCCUCACAACGACUUCAUAAAGUAAUUACUAAUAUCCUCAAUUUGCAGAUGAGAAACUGAGUGACAGAGAGAUAAAGGUCACAUAGCAGUGAAGUGAUGAGGUCAGGUUCCAAGCCCCGUCAAGGUGGUUCUAGAAUGCCCAUUCUUCAUGCUAUAUUUAUUUUAUUGUUCUUUAGCUGGUUCGGGAUGGGUCAAUUCUUACAUUUUUCAAGAGAGAUCUUAAUUUUAGCUUUAUUUGCUGCACCAUCAUCAUUGUCUAUUUGUUUUUAAAAUAGGGUUUGGGGUCUCUCUGUUUUGUUUUAGAAAGAUGGAGAUCUAAAAAUAGUCUAUAGCCCUGUAAAUUACAUUUAUAGAGAAAAAAAAAUUUUAACAUCAAACACCUUUGUUCCUAUUAAUGAUUUUGGAACAAUGUCGGAGUUUUGGUUAAAAAUUUAUUGACUUUAAAAACAUCUUUUAUUCCAGUAUUAUUGAUGGAUUAGACCACUACAUUAAAGUUUGCACAUAACGUUGAAAAUGAUUCAUUUUCUUUGCAGUCUUACUGUUAUUUGGCUUUCUUAUACUUGCUCUUCUGUAUGUCUACUGUCAGUAUUCUGUACUAGAUUAUAUCCUAAAUACUGCAAUAUGUAUUUUUCUUUAUAUCCUAUUAUUGAACAGAAUUAAUGCUUA
RNAcentral lists this long non-coding RNA (3116 nucleotides) under Lynx pardinus (Iberian lynx). The record is from RNAcentral. Lineage: Eukaryota; Metazoa; Chordata; Mammalia; Carnivora; Felidae.